UAUUAAGUAGGGCGGAACACGUGAAAUUCUGUCUGAAGAUCGGAGGACCACCUUCGAAGGCUAAGUACUCCUUACUGACCGAUAGUGAACCAGUACCGUGAGGGAAAGGUGAAAAGCACCCCGACGAGGGGAGUGAAACAGUACCUGAAACCGAACGCCUACAAUCAGUCGGAGCUUGACUGGACUCUAAUGACAAUCUGCUUCAAGAACGUUGAUGAGGAUCAACGCGAAGGAAGCGAAACAAUGUCAGAUUUUGCCAUUAUUACAGAUGGAACAGCAGCCGUUGUCGGCCUCGUAUUGGGGUUAAUCAACAUGGGUGUGAACCAUUGCCCGAACGACGGGUGUUUGGCAAAAAAUGAGGUAACACCUUACAUCGCGGCCUCGGUCGGUGAUGUGGUUUACCAAAAACAAACCAUCGGCGAGGAAUUCUAUAUCAGAAAGCAAACUGGUAAAGCUCGCGGACCAUUCCAAUUCACCUACGGUGCAUCAGUUACCGAAGAUGGCGGGGUUUGGGUCGGGUUUGGCAGCACAACGACAUAUCAGAUCAAUAACAGAUGGUACGCCCAGUUCCAUUCGAUGCCCGGCAUUUACAUGAAGGGUGACGAUGUGGGUCUUGGUGGGCCAAUCGAAUUCAGAUCUGGUGUCGAAUUGGGAUACGAAAAUCGCGCAGGUGUGCGGAUGGGCCUCAGCGUUGACCAUCGGUCAAACGCGGGGAUCUACUCCAGCAACCCUGGCCUUGAAACAGUACAGUUUCGAGUUUCAAUCCCUCUCAAAUAACCACCACGUGGUUGUCAUUAGUGUCCAGUCUUGUGACGGCGUACCUUUUGUAUAAUGGGUCAUCGACUUAGUGUAUCUAGCAAGCUUAAGCCGUUAGGUGUAGGCGCAGCGAAAGCGAGUCUUAAUAGGGCGACUGAGUUAGAUGCAUUAGACCCGAAACCGAGUGAUCUAGGCAUGACCAGGUUGAAGGUAAGGUAACACUUACUGGAGGACCGAACCCACAUCUGUUGAAAAAGAUCGGGAUGAGUUGUGCCUAGGGGUGAAAGGCCAAUCAAACUCGGAGAUAGCUGGUUCUCUGCGAAAUCUAUUUAGGUAGAGCGUCAUCCGAAUACCCUCGGGGGUAGAGCACUGGAUGGGUAAUGGGGCCCCACAGGCUUACUGAUCCUAACCAAACUCCGAAUACCGAGGAGUACUAGAUGGCAGA
This 1201-nucleotide ribosomal RNA is filed under the name Candidatus Neptunichlamydia sp. Its description in RNAcentral is "partial 23S ribosomal RNA". It matches the Rfam family "Bacterial large subunit ribosomal RNA", at positions 406 to 984 of the family's 2925-position model. The record is from RNAcentral. Lineage: Bacteria; Pseudomonadati; Chlamydiota; Chlamydiia; Parachlamydiales; Simkaniaceae.